Molecule: ribosomal RNA, 253 nt
Filed under: uncultured bacterium
Lineage: Bacteria
Description: partial 16S ribosomal RNA
Rfam family: Bacterial small subunit ribosomal RNA
Source: RNAcentral
GACGAACCGUGCGAACGUUAUUCGGAAUCACUGGGCUUAAAGGGCGCGUAGGCGGGCCUCCAAGUCAGGGGUGAAAUCCCACGGCUCAACCGUGGAAGUGCCUCUGAUACUGGCGGCCUCGAGGGGUGCAGGGGCGUGCGGAACUCAGGGUGGAGCGGUGAAAUGCGUAGAUAUCCUGAGGAACACCGGUGGCGAAAGCGGCGCGCUGGACACCUUCUGACGCUGAGGCGCGAAAGCCAGGGGAGCAAACGGG